AUUGAACGCUGGCGGCAGGCCUAACACAUGCAAGUCGAGCGGAUGAGAGGAGCUUGCUUCUCGAUUCAGCGGCGGACGGGUGAGUAAUGCCUAGGAAUCUGCCUGGUAGUGGGGGACAACGUUUCGAAAGGAGCGCUAAUACCGCAUACGUCCUACGGGAGAAAGCAGGGGACCUUCGGGCCUUGCGCUAUCAGAUGAGCCUAGGUCGGAUUAGCUAGUUGGUGAGGUAAUGGCUCACCAAGGCGACGAUCCGUAACUGGUCUGAGAGGGUGAUCAGUCACACUGGAACUGAGACACGGUCCAGACUCCUACGGGAGGCAGCAGUGGGGAAUAUUGGACAAUGGGCGAAAGCCUGAUCCAGCCGUGCCGCGUGUGUGAAGAAGGUCUUCGGAUUGUAAAGCACUUUAAGUUGGGAGGAAGGGUUGUAGAUUAAUACUCUGCAAUUUUGACGUUACCGACAGAAUAAGCACCGGCUAACUCUGUGCCAGCAGCCGCCGCUG
Molecule: ribosomal RNA, 500 nt
Filed under: uncultured bacterium
Lineage: Bacteria
Description: partial 16S ribosomal RNA
Rfam family: Bacterial small subunit ribosomal RNA
Source: RNAcentral